AGACUUCUACCUAGAAUCUCAGUCUGAACACUUUCAAGGCAUUGACAGUCGCAGAACUGAAAUGAAUGAAGGUUCUAGUCACGGAGCCGUGAGUUGCCAUAGUUUUUGAUGACUUAUUUUUAUUUUUGUUCUCUCCUUACCCCAAGGGGCUUGUCCUGUGCAUUUAACCUUGACACCUAUGAAGUCAUGCAUUUCCAGAGAACCUGGAGGACUGCAGGCACCAAAGAAUGAGGGUAGAGGUAUGCAAUGAAGAAUGAGUCUUCUCUAUCUAAGGACAAAAGAGAAGCAGGAGUCUCAGGAGAUUAGGGUCCAGCUGAGGGCAGAAAGAAGAAGCUUGGUAGAAAUGGGAUCAAGACUCUCCGGCUCACAAAUGUUCCCAGUCCAUGCCCUUCCUCCUGAUCUCAUCUGGAUUAUUCAGAUCCACAGGAGCCCACAAGCCACCCUGGAAACCUUGAGCCACUCACAACUCCUGGAGUCUGAGCAACCCAUCAGAGGUUGAACCAGGAUGCCUAUAAAAAGCCUUCUGCGUUCCCCUACAUACUCUUCAUGAAUCCUCAGGAAGAAUGGAAUAAGACAAGGGUCAGAGAGCUGGAGCCAGAUACUGAAGAUGCCAGGCUGGCUGGAGGCACUGGCGGCUGCACUUCCUCAGCCUGUCUCCUGUCUCUCUGGCUGGCAUGGCCUCUGCCUAUACUCCUUUAAGGGAAUUGGUCAUGCUCCUGGCUAGCCUCACCUGUGUGUCUACUACUUAUUGCAUAAAGGAAAGGUUAUUUCCACGCUCAGUUUUCUAGACACUUACAAGCACGGAUCUGUGAAUCAGUUAUGGCAGCAAAGAAUAAGUGGGAGAUUCAUCUUAACACCUGAACUACCUGCCAUUCCUGUCUCUGGGACUUGCCUGCCAUGUAAAAGCCAAUUCAGGAAACAUCAAGAGCCUCAAGCUAACCCUACAAAGCAGGGGCCUCCCAGAGCUCACACCAACCAUAAAAGGAGAGAAAGAGGCCAGCAGCCCUCACUAACUCUACAUCUGUCACAUGCGCAGGAUUCAGAAGACAUGAAGACUUCUAUACAUCCUCUCAACUUCUCCUCCACCAGGCAUUCCCAUUUCCAAAUUUCCGGAAUCCGGAAACUAUAUUCCAGCCUGUGGUGGUUUGAAUAUCCUUGGCCCAUGGAAAGUGGCCCUAUUGGGAGGUGUGAUCUUAUUGGAGGAGGUGUUACCUUGUUAGAGGAAGUGUGUCACUGUGGGGGUGGACUUUAGGGCUCCUAUGCUCAAGUUCUGCCCAGUGUGGAAUCAGAGCCUUCUGGCUGCCUGUGGAAGACAGUCUCCUCCUAGCAGUCUUUAGAUCAAGAUGUAAAACUCUUGGCUCUCUAGCACUCUCUAGUCUUCUGAGCAGGAGAGAAGAACGCACUGAAGGGCAGGGAAGACCUGGAAAUGAACAACAGCUCUUUGAAGGAGAUUAGGGAGUAAGAUGGUUUGUAUAUGCUUGGCCCAGUGAGUGGGCCAUAUUAGAAGGUGUGGCUCUGUUGGAGUAGGUGUGGUACUGUGGGUGUGGGCUUCAAGACCCUCUUCCUAGUUGCCAGGAAGCCUGUAUUCUGCUAGCAGCCUUCAGAUGAAGAUGUAGAACUCUCUCAUCCUGCCUGGAUGCUGCCAUGCUUCCACCUUGAGGAUAAUGGACUGAACCCCUGAGCCUGUAAGCCAGCCCCAAUUAAAUGCUGUCAUUUAUAAGA
RNAcentral lists this long non-coding RNA (1722 nucleotides) under Mus musculus (house mouse). RNAcentral's name for it is "predicted gene, 33543". The record is from RNAcentral. Lineage: Eukaryota; Metazoa; Chordata; Mammalia; Rodentia; Muridae.